GUUAUUCGUUUCGAAAGUUAGUAUUGCCUCUCAUAAUUAUUUCUCGUCAAUUUAUUAUGAUAGUCUGUUUGGCGUUUAUAUUAGAACUCCUAUUUGUACUCUUUAGACUAGUGUAUCAUGUCUAAAUUUUAUUUUGAUAUCUAUAGUGAUGUACAUGUUAUUAUAUUUUAGAGACUUGUGUUGAUGUUUCGUUCGAUUUAACAUGUACACGUUAGAACCCCUUUGUGUUGAUAUUUUGUCGCAUGUGUUGUGACAUUAUAUUUUGUUAGAAUACCGUAGGGUAUACCUGAGCUAUAACCACCUGUGGGGGUACCACAGGCAUGUCCUCUUGGCACCGAGGCAUGACACCUUCCGUGGC
Molecule: long non-coding RNA, 358 nt
Filed under: Panax ginseng (ginseng)
Lineage: Eukaryota; Viridiplantae; Streptophyta; Magnoliopsida; Apiales; Araliaceae
Description: long non-coding RNA (PGIN_LNC000479)
Source: RNAcentral